GUGCUCACUUUGGCAGCACGUGUACUAAAAUUGGAACGAUACAGAGGAGAUUAGCCUGACCCCUGCGCAAGGAUGACACGCAAAUUCAUGAAGUGUUCCAUAUUUUU
RNAcentral lists this small nuclear RNA (107 nucleotides) under Jaculus jaculus (lesser Egyptian jerboa). Lineage: Eukaryota; Metazoa; Chordata; Mammalia; Rodentia; Dipodidae. The record is from RNAcentral.